GACGAACGCUGGCGGCGUGCCUAAUACAUGCAAGUUGAGCGCUGAAGGUUGGUACUUGUACCGACUGGAUGAGCAGCGAACGGGUGAGUAACGCGUGGGGAAUCUGCCUUUGAGCGGGGGACAACAUUUGGAAACGAAUGCUAAUACCGCAUAAAAACUUUAAACACAAGUUUUAAGUUUGAAAGAUGCAAUUGCAUCACUCAAAGAUGAUCCCGCGUUGUAUUAGCUAGUUGGUGAGGUAAAGGCUCACCAAGGCGAUGAUACAUAGCCGACCUGAGAGGGUGAUCGGCCACAUUGGGACUGAGACACGGCCCAAACUCCUACGGGAGGCAGCAGUAGGGAAUCUUCGGCAGUGGACGAAAGUCUGACCGAGCAACGCCGCGUGAGUGAAGAAGGUUUUCGGAUCGUAAAACUCUGUUGGUAGAGAAGAACGUUGGUGAGAGUGGAAAGCUCAUCAAGUGACGGUAACUACCCAGAAAGGGACGGCUAACUACGUG
Molecule: ribosomal RNA, 497 nt
Filed under: uncultured bacterium
Lineage: Bacteria
Description: partial 16S ribosomal RNA
Rfam family: Bacterial small subunit ribosomal RNA
Source: RNAcentral